This 274-nucleotide ribosomal RNA is filed under the name uncultured bacterium. RNAcentral's name for it is "partial 16S ribosomal RNA". It matches the Rfam family "Bacterial small subunit ribosomal RNA", at positions 523 to 796 of the family's 1533-position model. The record is from RNAcentral.
AUACAGAGGGUGCGAGCGUUAAUCGGAAUUACUGGGCGUAAAGCGCGCGUAGGCGGCUUACUAAGUCAGAUGUGAAAUCCCCGGGCUCAACCUGGGAACUGCAUCUGAUACUGGUAAGCUAGAGUUUGGGAGAGGGAAGUAGAAUUUCAGGUGUAGCGGUGAAAUGCAUAGAGAUCUGAAGGAAUACCAGUGGCGAAGGCGACUUCCUGGCCUAAAACUGACGCUGAGGUGCGAAAGCGUGGGUAGCAAACGGGAUUAGAUACCCCAGUAGUCC